This 66-nucleotide small RNA is filed under the name Chryseobacterium taeanense. RNAcentral describes it as "Flavo-1 RNA". It matches the Rfam family "Flavo-1 RNA". Lineage: Bacteria; Pseudomonadati; Bacteroidota; Flavobacteriia; Flavobacteriales; Weeksellaceae. The record is from RNAcentral.
UCCUAGCCCCGAUUGUAGCGAAAAUCCUUUUUGAAAAAAAGAUUGCAGCGGAAAGCGGGAAAUUGC